UGCUGGGUAGGGGAGCGUUCUGUAAGCCUGCGAAGGUGGCCUGUGAGGGUUGCUGGAGGUAUCAGAAGUGCGAAUGCUGACAUAAGUAACGAUAAAGCGGGUGAAAAGCCCGCUCGCCGGAAGACCAAGGGUUCCUGUCCAACGUUAAUCGGGGCAGGGUGAGUCGACCCCUAAGGCGAGGCCGAAAGGCGUAGUCGAUGGGAAACGGGUUAAUAUUCCCGUACUUGGUGUUACUGCGAAGGGGGGACGGAGAAGGCUAUGUUGGCCGGGCGACGGUUGUCCCGGUUUAAGCGUGUAGGUGUGUGUUCCAGGUAAAUCCGGUUCACUUUAACACUGAGGCGUGACGACGAGGCACUACGGUGCUGAAGCAACAAAUGCCCUGCUUCCAGGAAAAGCCUCUAAGCAUCAGGUAACAUCAAAUCGUACCCCAAACCGACACAGGUGGUCAGGUAGAGAAUACCAAGGCGCUUGAGAGAACUCGGGUGAAGGAACUAGGCAAAAUGGUGCCGUAACUUCGGGAGAAGGCACGCUGACACGUAGGUGAAGUGAUUUACUCAUGGAGCUGAAGUCAGUCGAAGAUACCAGCUGGCUGCAACUGUUUAUUAAAAACACAGCACUGUGCAAACACGAAAGUGGACGUAUACGGUGUGACGCCUGCCCGGUGCCGGAAGGUUAAUUGAUGGGGUCAGCGCAAGCGAAGCUCCUGAUCGAAGCCCCGGUAAACGGCGGCCGUAACUAUAACGGUCCUAAGGUAGCGAAAUUCCUUGUCGGGUAAGUUCCGACCUGCACGAAUGGCGUAAUGAUGGCCAGGCUGUCUCCACCCGAGACUCAGUGAAAUUGAACUCGCUGUGAAGAUGCAGUGUACCCGCGGCAAGACGGAAAGACCCCGUGAACCUUU
RNAcentral lists this ribosomal RNA (898 nucleotides) under Salmonella enterica subsp. enterica serovar Mississippi. RNAcentral's name for it is "partial 23S ribosomal RNA". It matches the Rfam family "Bacterial large subunit ribosomal RNA", at positions 1222 to 2102 of the family's 2925-position model. The record is from RNAcentral. Lineage: Bacteria; Pseudomonadati; Pseudomonadota; Gammaproteobacteria; Enterobacterales; Enterobacteriaceae.